This 432-nucleotide ribosomal RNA is filed under the name uncultured bacterium. RNAcentral's name for it is "partial 16S ribosomal RNA". It matches the Rfam family "Bacterial small subunit ribosomal RNA", at positions 29 to 506 of the family's 1533-position model. The record is from RNAcentral.
AGCGAACGCUGGCGGCAGGCCUAACACAUGCAAGUCGAACGAACUCUUCGGAGUUAGUGGCGGACGGGUGAGUAACACGUGGGAACGUGCCUUUUGGUUCGGAAUAACUCAGGGAAACUUGUGCUAAUACCGAAUGUGCUCUUCGGGGGAAAGAUUUAUCGCCAUUAGAGCGGCCCGCGUCUGAUUAGCUAGUUGGUGAGGUAACGGCUCACCAAGGCGACGAUCAGUAGCUGGUCUGAGAGGAUGACCAGCCACACUGGGACUGAGACACGGCCCAGACUCCUACGGGAGGCAGCAGUGGGGAAUCUUGCGCAAUGGGCGAAAGCCUGACGCAGCCAGGCCGCGUGAAUGAUGAAGGUCUUAGGAUUGUAAAAUUCUUUCACCGGGGACGAUAAUGACGGUACCCGGAGAAGAAGCCCCGGCAAACUUCGU